RNAcentral lists this ribosomal RNA (253 nucleotides) under uncultured bacterium. Its description in RNAcentral is "partial 16S ribosomal RNA". It matches the Rfam family "Bacterial small subunit ribosomal RNA", at positions 524 to 776 of the family's 1533-position model. The record is from RNAcentral.
UACGUAGGGUGCGAGCGUUAAUCGGAAUUACUGGGCGUAAAGCGUGCGCAGGCGGUUUUGUAAGCCAGAUGUGAAAUCCCCGGGCUUAACCUGGGAAUGGCAUUUGGGACUGCAAGGCUUGAGUGCGGCAGAGGAGACUGGAAUUCCUGGUGUAGCGGUGAAAUGCGCAGAUAUCGGGAAGAACACCCGUGGCGAAGGCGGCACUCUGGGACGGUACUGACGCUGAGACGCGAAAGCGUGGGGAGCGAACAGG